UGCAGGCUGUUUCGAGAAUGUCAGGGCCAUCAGCGAAUCCCCACUUUUUUGUUUUGGAUAAGAACGGUCUUAUCACAGAAGAGAGGCAGGACCUUGAUCCAGCUGUUUUUCCUUUUGCUAAAGCGGCCCAGCAUGAGAUCAAGAGCAUAGGACUUCAUGAAGGUGCAAGUCUUGCUGAAGUGUUGAAAGACAGAGGCUUGUGAUUUUGAAGCUGGAAGUGAUACGAUAAUUGAUAAGCAGGGGUUUGACUGUUUGACUGCACCACUGUUCUUGCAAGACUUGAGGUAAAAUUAGUUCAAAUGCAAAAGACUUGAGGCAAAAUAACCCGUAGAUACAUUACUAUGACUAUUUGUUAUAAUUAGUUUCUUUGUUUUUAUAUUAGUCUUUACAAACUUGUAUGAAACAUUUCAUUUUGGUAGUGAUGAUAAAGUCUUUUAAUA
This is a long non-coding RNA of Ipomoea nil (Japanese morning glory), 440 nucleotides long. RefSeq lists it as uncharacterized. The transcript is spliced from 3 exons. NCBI's taxonomy places the organism in Eukaryota, Viridiplantae, Streptophyta, Magnoliopsida, Solanales, Convolvulaceae. The record is from RefSeq and is a predicted model, not a curated record.